AGUGAACGCUGGCGGUAGGCCUAACACACGCAAGUCGAACGGCAGCACAGUAAGAGUUUGCUCUUACGGGUGGCGAGUGGCGGACGGGUGAGGAAUACAUCGGAAUCUACUUUUUCGUGGGGGAUAACGUAGGGAAACUUACGCUAAUACCGCAUACGACCUACGGGUGAAAGCAGGGGAUCUUCGGACCUUGCGCGAUUGAAUGAGCCGAUGUCGGAUUAGCUAGUUGGCGGGGUAAAGGCCCACCAAGGCGACGAUCCGUAGCUGGUCUGAGAGGAUGAUCAGCCACACUGGAACUGAGACACGGUCCAGACUCCUACGGGAGGCAGCAGUGGGGAAUAUUGGACAAUGGGCGCAAGCCUGAUCCAGCCAUACCGCGUGGGUGAAGAAGGCCUUCGGGUUGUAAAGCCCUUUUGUUGGGAAAGAAAAGCAGCAGGUUAAUACCCCGCUGUUCUGACGGUACCCAAAGAAUAAGCACCGGCUAACUUCGUG
This 492-nucleotide ribosomal RNA is filed under the name uncultured bacterium. RNAcentral describes it as "partial 16S ribosomal RNA". It matches the Rfam family "Bacterial small subunit ribosomal RNA", at positions 29 to 507 of the family's 1533-position model. The record is from RNAcentral.